RNAcentral lists this ribosomal RNA (903 nucleotides) under Acremonium charticola. RNAcentral's name for it is "LSU rRNA". It matches the Rfam family "Eukaryotic large subunit ribosomal RNA", at positions 32 to 965 of the family's 3401-position model. Lineage: Eukaryota; Fungi; Ascomycota; Sordariomycetes; Hypocreales; Bionectriaceae. The record is from RNAcentral.
CUUUAAGCAUAUCAAUAAGCGGAGGAAAAGAAACCAACAGGGAUUGCCCCUAGUACGCGCGAGUGAAGCGGCAACAGCUCAAAUUUGAAAUCUGGCCUCACGGUCCGAGUUGUAAUUUGUAGAGGAUGCUUCUGGCGACGUGCCUUCCGAGUUCCCUGGAACGGGACGCCAUAGAGGGUGAGAGCCCCGUCCGGUCGUGCACCUAGCCUCUGUGAAGCUCCUUCGACGAGUCGAGUAGUUUGGGAAUGCUGCUCUAAAUGGGAGGUAUACGUCUUCUAAAGCUAAAUACCGGCCAGAGACCGAUAGCGCACAAGUAGAGUGAUCGAAAGAUGAAAAGCACUUUGAAAAGAGGGUUAAAUAGUACGUGAAAUUGCUGAAAGGGAAGCGCUUAUGACCAGACUUGGGCUCGGUGAAUCAUCCGGCGUUCUCGCCGGUGCACUUUGCCGUCCCAGGCCAGCAUCAGUUCGCGCCGGGGGAUAAAGGUUUCGGGAAUGUAGCUCCCUCGGGAGUGUUAUAGCCCGUUGCGUAAUACCCUGGCGUGGACUGAGGUCCGCGCUCUGCAAGGAUGCUGGCGUAAUGGUCAUCAGUGACCCGUCUUGAAACACGGACCAAGGAGUCGUCUUCGUAUGCGAGUGUUCGGGUGUCAAACCCCUACGCGUAAUGAAAGUGAACGUAGGAGAGAGCUUCGGCGCAUCUCCGACCGAUCCUGAUGUUCUCGGAUGGAUUUGAGUAAGAGCAUACGGGGCCGGACCCGAAAGAAGGUGAACUAUGCCUGUAUAGGGUGAAGCCAGAGGAAACUCUGGUGGAGGCUCGCAGCGGUUCUGACGUGCAAAUCGAUCGUCAAAUAUGGGCAUGGGGGUCGAAAGACUAAUCGAACCUUCUAGUAGCUGGGUUUCCGCCGAA